GUGACGUCAUGUCAAACAGAUAUGAACAACGGGGUCGAAGGAUCGUACGUGAAUUCUAAUCAAUGGAAGGAUUACAAAUCAGUUAAAUAUAGAUCCAAUUGAACAUGUGAUGCUACUUUCAACCAACCAAUGGACGGACCAUAUAGGUGAUUGCUGAGUGGACAUCCCAAAUGUAGGGUUCAUUUUAUCAUCCGUGAUCAACGAUCUCAGAAUUUCCCAUUAAAAGUUUCGUGAUGCGGUCUGUCAACAGAAACAUGUGCUCUGGGAAACACUGAUGAGCACUGGCUGCCUGCAUUCAUUGGUCUUCAUUCAGGGGAUUUAUUUGGAGUUACUACAGAUGAAAAACAACCUCAAUAUCUAGUGUGUGAUUGGAGCUUAAUGAUCGUGCUGUUGCUACUGGCUAUAAACAGAGCAUAAGAGGCCGGAGGGGAGUACCUGAACUAGGCUCACAAUAGCCAUAUCCCGUUCAAAAUGAGUGGAACGCAUAAAUACGAUGACAAUCGCCACCGCAAAAAGACCGGUUCAAGAACGGGCAGCAGUGGGGGACGCAGCAGCAAUACUGGCAAUGCAGGAGUACUUAUGGUUGGACCCAAUUUCAGGGUGGGAAAGAAAAUUGGAUGUGGUAAUUUUGGAGAACUAAGACUUGGUGAGUAUUGGUGUCAGCAUCACAAAACACUUGUACUGUCGUACAUGUCUGAAAUGCAUGCAUAUCAUGGUAUCCAAAGUAUACAGAUGACACCCAGAAUGUACAUGUACAUGUAUGUUCCAGAGCUGCCAACUAUUAUGAUAAAGUCAUAAUUACGUUUUUCACUCAUUUAUUACUACGCGUUUUGGUGCACUGUACAAAAUUUUAAUACACACAUAAUACAUUGCGUAGUGGCGAAGUCAUCCGAAGAUGGCAAAUACUGCCAUUACACACAUGAUCAUGUCUCUUUGUUUUACAAUGCUGCGCAUGUGAUGAUUGCCUUAUGUACAUGUACCUCGUGUAAUUUUCGUACCUUAGAUUGCGUGCAUUGUCAGUGGAAAAUUUUAGUAUGGAUAGAAGUCCACACACAUGUGCAAAAUGGGUAGUUAGUUUUCCAUGUUUUUGAUGAAAUAUUCGCUAAUUUAAGGAUUGGGCGCUGAUCAGUUUGUAAACUUUUUGUGCAUCAUGGAUUAAAACUUAUGUCGCUUUAGUAGAACUUUGGAUUGUUAAAAUGGAUUAUUUGAUGUGACAGUGAUAUGCUGCAAAGGAUCAAAUAUUCACGAUUUAGAGGAUCUCGCCUGCUUAUCCAGUUCAACGAAGUCUCCAAACUUGAUACGCCACUGGGUUCAAAGGCGAAACAGCCUUUCAGGCAUGAGUACACCAGCAGAAUACAAGGCCAUGUAUAAUACCAUCUCCCAAAGGUGAAAACCAUGCUUGGUGCAACACUUGCUCAUCAGAUUUUUCCAUUGCACAGUGGAGCAUAUUAAGAAACAUUUAAAACCAUCAGUCUGCUGUACAUUGUAUAUGCAAUGAAAAUGCCUCAUUGUGCGAAUGUUCUAUUAUCACUUCAAAGAAAUUUAUAAUACCCUGCGCAUGGCGCAUAUGAAAUUACUCUUUUUAUUUUAAAAUUACUACUUUUUACUUUUAAAGGUUGGCAGCUCUGUUCAUCUUGAGCUUUUUUAUUUUGAACAUUUUGAGCCUGGUUGGUAUAUAUGCAGGAAAAACAGCAUUAAUACUGAAAAAUUACCCAAACCGCUGUAAAGCUUUUGUCACAACCUGCCAUGUGUGUCUGUAUGCAAGUUCGUCGCAGCCUUCACUCUCCAAAGCAAAUUUCUGUGAUUCAUACAUGCACCUCUAACGUGGGUCUUGUGUCAUACACCUUCAUGUUUCUACAUCUUUUCUUGGGUCGCUAUAUAUACAUGUAUCAUGGAAUAUAUUGCAUUUGAAUAUACAUGUAAUUGAGUCAAGCAUAGAGCACUCACAAAGCACAAUCGAUGUGCAACCUAUUUGAUUAAUGCCCGCUCUCCAUUUUAAACCAUGGAGUUCUGGUGACCUGAAUUGCUUCUGCAUUCGUUCGACACAAGAAGCAUAUGGUGGAAGUUCAAAUGGCUACAUGUACAGGUAUCACUUGCCUGUAUUUGUGUUUACCAGCACACAUAGCCGCACACUGUUUGUUGUUGUUUUUUUUUUUUUAUUCAUAGUAUUAAAAAAAAUGAAAAUCCCACCUGGGGAUUGUGUCCCUUCAUUCUCAAUACCUUGAGAUUUUGUUGAUUUGGUAGUGAUUUUUAUUUCUUCCAGCGACAGAUAUUUGAAGAAAAAGAGCUAUACAUGUAUCUUUCAAAGUGAAGGACACAAAAUACCUUGUCCUUGCCCUUUAUAUUCCCGAAACCUGCAUGAAAAUAUACACAGCUUUUUCAUUAAGCAUCCUUCUAAGCUUGUCAUCCUUGUGGCUGAAAUGUGAUUAUGCCAUCCUUGAAUGUCAUGGAGUAUCGUUGCAUUCAUUAAUAUUGUACAAGCAUAAACUUGACAGAUGGAUGUGAAGAGGAGAUGUACAGUACAUGUACAAGGAGGAAGAGGGAUUUAGCUUGGUACAUUACCUCUGUAUGUCAGGAAGAGCGUAAUGUCUGAUCAUGUUCGUGCUAUCCUACUAAUACCAUGUGGUGAGUAGACGAACUGAUGAUAGACCAAGUGGUAGUAGACGAGUUGGCAAUUGGACGAAUUGGCAUUAGACGAAUUGGAAAUAAAUCGUCCCGAAGACCUCAGAUAAAAAUUCGAUCCAGAUCCAGCUGAAAGCACUUCUACCCCAAAGUAAAGUUUAGAGCAGAGCAGUUUUGAGUUAUAAGUUAUCAGAAAUCUGAAUUUCACCAAUAUUAUACGUACAUAGCGAACUAAGCAUCAUGGGGUGGGGUCUAUACACCGGCUUACUUAUACAUGUACAAUGUAAGGGUUGAGAUAUUAUAGACCCUGUUAGCUUGAAAUAUUAGGCCUUCUAAUUGGCCAAAUUAUCAUUGUACCAAACAACAUGUAUACAAAUUAAACACAAUUUAUCAAAAACAUUUGAAAAGUCAUAACAUGCUUUUGGCUCUUACAUGUAUGUGCUUGGCCUGAAUAAGGGGUGCACAUGCUGCUAAUUAAGAACCCCUGUUCAUGUUUGAUUUUGAUACAUGUAGGGAGUAAUCCAUGUUGUAUCUUGAUGACUUGCAUGAAACAAAUUGCCAGGGUUUCAACAGUGGCAUUGAUUGUGCAUCACUUUCAUCAAUAGAAAUCAAUUUCU
Lytechinus pictus (painted urchin) is the source of this 3239-nucleotide long non-coding RNA. RefSeq lists it as uncharacterized. The transcript is spliced from 3 exons. Lineage: Eukaryota; Metazoa; Echinodermata; Echinoidea; Temnopleuroida; Toxopneustidae. The record is from RefSeq and is a predicted model, not a curated record.